RNAcentral lists this long non-coding RNA (497 nucleotides) under Apteryx rowi (Okarito brown kiwi). RNAcentral describes it as "lncRNA (ENSARWG00000003103.1)". The record is from RNAcentral. Lineage: Eukaryota; Metazoa; Chordata; Aves; Apterygiformes; Apterygidae.
CGCGCUCGCCCCUGCGGAGGCGGCACGGCGGAGCGGGGGGGCAGGCGGGCCCCGGAGCAGUGUUGCGGCGCGGCGUCGGCGGGAGGACGGCUCCUGUGGCGGCAGGCUCGGCCGAGAGUGCUGGGUAGUCCACCGAAGGGGGACAUCUUGAAGAGAAGCAGCUAGACCUAGCGGUCCAGUUGUUGAUUUUGGUCGUCACCUGUGAGGCCAGCAUCCGAGCGUAACAGGAAUCUAGGAGYUGUAUCAAAAAGAGAUGGAACCAAUAGUAGCAAAUGCUGACAAAGAGAAAAGCUGGACAAGCAGGUUUUUGGUGAUUAAUACCGAAGGGACGGGAUGAAACAAGGAAGCAAAAAUGCAGUUUAGUGGACCCUUGAUAUCACCAGAUACUGCUGCAGCAGGAGGUGUUCUGGCAUGGGUAACUAAGAUUGAUUGCCAUGGCUGAAGUUGAAGAGACCAGAAAAACGUAAGCAAGCUGAAGUAAUGAAAUCAAAUGGAAC